GGUCCGGUGGCAGAGUGGCUCAUGCAGCGGAUUGCAAAUCCGUUUACGGGGGUUCAAUUCCCUCCCGGACCU
Molecule: transfer RNA, 72 nt
Filed under: Commensalibacter papalotli (ex Servin-Garciduenas et al. 2014)
Lineage: Bacteria; Pseudomonadati; Pseudomonadota; Alphaproteobacteria; Acetobacterales; Acetobacteraceae
Also listed under: 1 other name
Rfam family: tRNA
About the family: Transfer RNA (tRNA) molecules are approximately 80 nucleotides in length. Their secondary structure includes four short double-helical elements and three loops (D, anti-codon, and T loops).
Source: Rfam by way of RNAcentral